RNAcentral lists this ribosomal RNA (1222 nucleotides) under Bacillus sp. (in: firmicutes). RNAcentral describes it as "bacterial SSU rRNA". It matches the Rfam family "Bacterial small subunit ribosomal RNA", at positions 100 to 1310 of the family's 1533-position model. The record is from RNAcentral. Lineage: Bacteria; Bacillati; Bacillota; Bacilli; Caryophanales; Bacillaceae.
GUAAGUCGUAACAAGGUAGAGUUACCUGCUNGUAAGAUAGGGAUAACUCCGGGAAACCGGAGCUAAUACCGGAUAGUUCCUUGAACCGCAUGGUUCAAGGAUGAAAGACGGUUUCGGCUGUCACUUACAGAUGGACCCGCGGCGCAUUAGCUAGUUGGUGGGGUAAUGGCUCACCAAGGCGACGAUGCGUAGCCGACCUGAGAGGGUGAUCGGCCACACUGGGACUGAGACACGGCCCAGACUCCUACGGGAGGCAGCAGUAGGGAAUCUUCCGCAAUGGACGAAAGUCUGACGGAGCAACGCCGCGUGAGUGAUGAAGGUUUUCGGAUCGUAAAGCUCUGUUGUUAGGGAAGAACAAGUGCGAGAGUAACUGCUCGCACCUUGACGGUACCUAACCAGAAAGCCACGGCUAACUACGUGCCAGCAGCCGCGGUAAUACGUAGGUGGCAAGCGUUGUCCGGAAUUAUUGGGCGUAAAGGGCUCGCAGGCGGUUUCUUAAGUCUGAUGUGAAAGCCCCCGGCUCAACCGGGGAGGGUCAUUGGAAACUGGGAAACUUGAGUGCAGAAGAGGAGAGUGGAAUUCCACGUGUAGCGGUGAAAUGCGUAGAGAUGUGGAGGAACACCAGUGGCGAAGGCGACUCUCUGGUCUGUAACUGACGCUGAGGAGCGAAAGCGUGGGGAGCGAACAGGAUUAGAUACCCUGGUAGUCCACGCCGUAAACGAUGAGUGCUAAGUGUUAGGGGGUUUCCGCCCCUUAGUGCUGCAGCUAACGCAUUAAGCACUCCGCCUGGGGAGUACGGUCGCAAGACUGAAACUCAAAGGAAUUGACGGGGGCCCGCACAAGCGGUGGAGCAUGUGGUUUAAUUCGAAGCAACGCGAAGAACCUUACCAGGUCUUGACAUCCUCUGACAACCCUAGAGAUAGGGCUUUCCCUUCGGGGACAGAGUGACAGGUGGUGCAUGGUUGUCGUCAGCUCGUGUCGUGAGAUGUUGGGUUAAGUCCCGCAACGAGCGCAACCCUUGAUCUUAGUUGCCAGCAUUCAGUUGGGCACUCUAAGGUGACUGCCGGUGACAAACCGGAGGAAGGUGGGGAUGACGUCAAAUCAUCAUGCCCCUUAUGACCUGGGCUACACACGUGCUACAAUGGACAGAACAAAGGGCUGCAAGACCGCAAGGUUUAGCCAAUCCCAUAAAUCUGUUCUCAGUUCGGAUCGCAGUCUGCAA